UACAGAGGGUGCGAGCGUUGUUCGGAAUUACUGGGCGUAAAGCGCGCGCAGGCGGCUUUCUAAGUCCGUAGGUGAAAGACCGGGGCUCAACCCCGUGUCAGCCAUGGAUACUGGGAGGCUGGAGACAGGUAGAGGCAAGCGGAAUUCCGGGUGUAGCGGUGGAAUGCGUAGAGAUCAGGAAGAACACCGGUGGCGAAGGCGCUCUGCUAGGCCGCAACUGACACUGAGGGACGAAAGCUAGGGGAGCGAAUGGG
RNAcentral lists this ribosomal RNA (254 nucleotides) under uncultured bacterium. RNAcentral describes it as "partial 16S ribosomal RNA". It matches the Rfam family "Bacterial small subunit ribosomal RNA", at positions 524 to 776 of the family's 1533-position model. The record is from RNAcentral.